GGUCAUAGUGAUCCGGUGGUUCUGAAUGGAAGGGCCAUCGCUCAACGGAUAAAAGGUACUCCGGGGAUAACAGGCUGAUACCGCCCAAGAGUUCAUAUCGACGGCGGUGUUUGGCACCUCGAUGUCGGCUCAUCACAUCCUGGGGCUGAAGUCGGUCCCAAGGGUAUGGCUGUUCGCCAUUUAAAGUGGUACGCGAGCUGGGUUUAGAACGUCGUGAGACAGUUCGGUCCCUAUCUGCCGUGGGCGUUGGAAGAUUGAAGGGGGCUGCUCCUAGUACGAGAGGACCGGAGUGGACGAACCUCUGGUGUUCGGGUUGUGUCGCCAGACGCAUUGCCCGGUAGCUAAGUUCGGAAUCGAUAACCGCUGAAAGCAUCUAAGCGGGAAGCGAGCCCUGAGAUGAGUCUUCCCUGAUACUUUAAGUAUCCUAAAGGGUUGUCGGAGACUACGACGUUGAUAGGUCAGGUGUGUAAGUGCUGUGAGGCAUUGAGCUAACUGAUACUAAUUGCCCGUGAGGCUUAACCAUACAACACCCAAGGGGUUU
This 541-nucleotide ribosomal RNA is filed under the name Vibrio parahaemolyticus. RNAcentral's name for it is "bacterial LSU rRNA". It matches the Rfam family "Bacterial large subunit ribosomal RNA", at positions 2408 to 2925 of the family's 2925-position model. The record is from RNAcentral. Lineage: Bacteria; Pseudomonadati; Pseudomonadota; Gammaproteobacteria; Vibrionales; Vibrionaceae.